CAGCAUCCUCUGAUAGACCAUGAGCACUUGUCCUGUUGCUCCCUGGUUUGCACUAAGAUGCAAAAAUAACCUUCCUUGCGCUUUCUGCCUGCCUGACUGUGGCAGCCCAGAUUGAAUAAGGGAAUACACAA
Molecule: small nucleolar RNA, 131 nt
Organism: Catharus ustulatus (Swainson's thrush)
Lineage: Eukaryota; Metazoa; Chordata; Aves; Passeriformes; Turdidae
Source: Ensembl